CCUACGGGAGGCAGCAGUGGGGAAUAUUGGGCAAUGGGCGCAAGCCUGAUCCAGCAACGCCGCGUGAAGGAAGAAGGCUUUCGGGUUGUAAACCUCUUUUGUCAGGGAACAAAGGCGGGGACUAGUCCCCGGAUGAGGGUACCUGAAGAAAAAGCAUCGGCUAACUCCGUGCCAGCAGCCGCGGUAAUACGGAGGAUGCGAGCGUUAUCCGGAUUUAUUGGGUUUAAAGGGUGCGCAGGCGGCCUGUUAAGUCAGCGGUAAAAGCCCGGGGCUCAACCCCGGCGAGCCGUUGAAACUGGCGGGCUGGAGUUGGAGAGAAGUACGCGGAAUGCGCGGUGUAGCGGUGAAAUGCUUAGAUAUCGCGCAGAACCCCGAUUGCGAAGGCAGCGUACCGGCUCCACACUGACGCUGAGGCACGAAAGCGUGGGUAUCGAACAGGAUUAGAUACCCGAGUAGUC
RNAcentral lists this ribosomal RNA (458 nucleotides) under uncultured bacterium. RNAcentral describes it as "partial 16S ribosomal RNA". It matches the Rfam family "Bacterial small subunit ribosomal RNA", at positions 338 to 795 of the family's 1533-position model. The record is from RNAcentral.